CCUACGGGAGGCAGCAGUAGGGAAUCUUCCACAAUGGGCGAACGCCUGAUGGAGCAACGCCGCGUGGGUGAAGAAGGUCUUCGGAUCGUAAAACCCUGUUGUUAGAGAAGAAAGUGCGUGAGAGUAACUGUUCACGUUUCGACGGUAUCUAACCAGAAAGCCACGGCUAACCACGUGCCAGCAGCCGCGGUAAUACGUAGGUGGCAAGCUGUAGCCGGACUUAGUGGGCGGAACGGGAACGCAGGCGGUCUUUUAAGUCUGAUGGGAAAGCCUUCGGCCUAACCGGAGUAGUGCAUUGGAAACUGGGAGACUUGAGUGCAGAAGAGGAGAGUGGAAGUCCAUGUGUAGCGGGGAAAUGCGUAGUUAUAUGGAAG
RNAcentral lists this ribosomal RNA (374 nucleotides) under uncultured bacterium. RNAcentral's name for it is "partial 16S ribosomal RNA". It matches the Rfam family "Bacterial small subunit ribosomal RNA", at positions 338 to 704 of the family's 1533-position model. The record is from RNAcentral.